Colius striatus (speckled mousebird) is the source of this 840-nucleotide long non-coding RNA. RefSeq lists it as uncharacterized. NCBI's taxonomy places the organism in Eukaryota, Metazoa, Chordata, Aves, Coliiformes, Coliidae. The record is from RefSeq and is a predicted model, not a curated record. The transcript is spliced from 3 exons.
AGGCCUCGGCCUGCUCGAGGAGCCGCGGGAGGGGAAGCCGGGCCAGGCCGCCCCCGCGUCCCCCACACCCGCCAGGCCAGAGGGCAGCGGCACGGCCUGGCGGAGGGGCUCCCGGUGCCGCCCCCGCGGGAGAGGCCGGCUCUGGACACCUAACGGUUUUCGGGCGCUGAGUGGUGACACAAUAGGCGUGUGCCAACUGAACCGGGUAAUGGCUCUGCGUGGAAGUGAAGCCGAAGGAGAAUUGGAUACUACGCAAAUGUCUGGCAGCAAAUACGGCCCGGCGCCGCCAGGCCCAGCCCUCAGCAGGGAGCUGUGCAAGCUACAAAUGUGGAACAGUGUCCCCGCGGCUGUGGUGGGCUGUCGUUGAACCGUGGCCGUUGGUGGUGCAACGCACGAGCUGACAGUGGAGCUUUUGCACCAAAUGCUUUCAAGGGAGAGCAACGCUUUUUCUGUAGUGCCCAGUGACAGGACUGGGGGUAACGGAUAUGAGCUGGGACACAAGAAGUUGCACUUGAACAGAGGAAAAAACUCCUUUGCUUUUCAGGUAUAUGGCCCAGAACCCCAAAGUGGAUUAAAAUUACAGCUGGCACAAAACACAGCCUCCCACAGAUGGAGAUACCAACGCAGACAACUGUCAGAUGCAGCUCCUGCCGCACAGUGAACCUAGAGCAGAACGUGCUGCUGAGAACCGCCAUCCAUCUGCCUUUUAUAUCCUCCCCAGAAGCUGCCAAUCCAGGGGGGACCACAGCCAACAGAAGCUUUACAAUUCAAAUGUUUUUUAAAUCACUGCCUACCUGGUUUAGAAACACACAAAAGAAUAACUGUAAUGAUCCCCUUUCC